This 581-nucleotide ribosomal RNA is filed under the name uncultured bacterium. Its description in RNAcentral is "partial 16S ribosomal RNA". It matches the Rfam family "Bacterial small subunit ribosomal RNA", at positions 355 to 935 of the family's 1533-position model. The record is from RNAcentral.
UGGGGAAUUUUGGACAAUGGGGGCAACCCUGAUCCAGCAAUGCCGCGUGUGUGAAGAAGGCCUUCGGGUUGUAAAGCACUUUUGUCCGGAAAGAAAACGUCGUGGUUAAUACCCGUGGCGGCUGACGGUACCGGAAGAAUAAGCACCGGCUAACUACGUGCCAGCAGCCGCGGUAAUACGUAGGGUGCAAGCGUUAAUCGGAAUUACUGGGCGUAAAGCGUGCGCAGGCGGUCCGCUAAGACAGAUGUGAAAUCCCCGGGCUUAACCUGGGAACUGCAUUUGUGACUGGCGGGCUAGAGUAUGGCAGAGGGGGGUAGAAUUCCACGUGUAGCAGUGAAAUGCGUAGAGAUGUGGAGGAAUACCGAUGGCGAAGGCAGCCCCCUGGGCCAAUACUGACGCUCAUGCACGAAAGCGUGGGGAGCAAACAGGAUUAGAUACCCUGGUAGUCCACGCCCUAAACGAUGUCAACUAGUUGUCGGGUCUUCAUUGACUUGGUAACGUAGCUAACGCGUGAAGUUGACCGCCUGGGGAGUACGGUCGCAAGAUUAAAACUUAAAGAAUUGACGGGGUCAUAGCUGUUU